AUGUCUGUCGAUGAAGUCUAUUCAGCUAACACAAGAGCAUUCUGCCAGGCAGCACAGAACCCUAACCUACAGAGAGCUGCAGAGAAACACCACGGAGAGGUGGAGGAGGAGGAUGAAGCACUUCAUAAACAGAGAAAUUCAAAAGGAAGAAGGGAUGUGCUGUGAGAUUUGGGAAUGUCUACGUGGGAAAGGCCUGCUGGCUAUAUUGAGGUACAGUGGCUCACACCUAUAAUCCUAGCACUCCGGGAGGCCG
This is a long non-coding RNA of Lemur catta (Ring-tailed lemur), 253 nucleotides long. RefSeq lists it as uncharacterized. The transcript is spliced from 3 exons. Lineage: Eukaryota; Metazoa; Chordata; Mammalia; Primates; Lemuridae. The record is from RefSeq and is a predicted model, not a curated record.